This 72-nucleotide transfer RNA is filed under the name Perca fluviatilis (European perch). It matches the Rfam family "tRNA". From Rfam's summary of the family: Transfer RNA (tRNA) molecules are approximately 80 nucleotides in length. Their secondary structure includes four short double-helical elements and three loops (D, anti-codon, and T loops). The record is from Rfam by way of RNAcentral. Lineage: Eukaryota; Metazoa; Chordata; Actinopteri; Perciformes; Percidae. RNAcentral also lists the same sequence under 1 other name.
GACUCUGUGGCGCAACGGUAGCGCGUCUGACUCCAGAUCAGAAAGUUGCGUGUUCAAAUCACGUCAGGGUCA